Molecule: long non-coding RNA, 955 nt
Filed under: Homo sapiens (human)
Lineage: Eukaryota; Metazoa; Chordata; Mammalia; Primates; Hominidae
Description: HSALNT0189762
Source: RNAcentral
GAGGAAGGUUGCUCUCUAGAUGUGGGGACUGACAGCCUCCUCCUUUCCAGCAGUGAGAGGGCCCAGCAGAGUCUGGUGUCAGGCUAGUGUUGCUCCGUGGCCCUGAGACCUUUCAGAUCCCGGGCAAAAAGGCUGAAGGGAAUGAUCUGUACCUUUAAAAAGAGAAAAGGGGAGAAAAGAUGGAUUUUCUGAAUCACAUUCUGUGAGGAAUUCAAAUCUCUUGGAAGAACAGGAGAGAUACCCUUUUCAUCAAGUGGCCUGAUGAGGGAAGGUCACCUGGCGUGGAGCAGAAGAACUAUGAUGGCCUGUGGAGGCCCGCAGUGUGCUUCGGGAGGGCUGCAUGCUGCAGCCUUUCCCUCUGCUUCCAUAUGACUCUUCCAGGAGAGAUGGGUAGCUGCUGACAUCUAAAAUUCUCAAAGUACAGAGGAGGAGUUCCUGGCCUCCACUUCCAUUCAAAAACCAUCCUGUGCAGAGGCCACUUCUUAUCUAGGACAUGCCAAUCUGCUGAAAGCAGGGAAAACUUGGUUUCAUAGCACGGUGAAGCAAAUCACCUCCAUGAGUAUCCAAUAUUCUCCAUAAACAGGUUUGAAAAGAGCUCCACAGGAUUUGUAGUUUCUCAUUUGCCUGCUUUAUGGUAGGGACUGGAUUUUAUCCAUCUGAGUGUUCCCCAGCACUAAAGCAGGGUCCCAAGUGUACUUGUUGCUCAGUAGUGGUUUUCUGAAUAGGCUUAACUGAGCAGGAGGUAGGAGGACUGGCUCGCUCCUCACAAGGCCAUGACUUUUGUUCUAAUAAAGUCUCUUCCAAUUAAAUGAGUCUACCUGAUCCCUGUCAUUCUGUCAAGCAUGUGGCAGAUAUUGAAUGCCUUUACCCAUUCCAACUCCUUCCCUCCUUAAACAAGAAAGGGGUCAGAGUCAACAUCUUACCUUACAUUACCCGGGUGUUGCCAAUGACUCUC